UAGGCUGCUAUGCCCAG
RNAcentral lists this unclassified non-coding RNA (17 nucleotides) under Mus musculus (house mouse). RNAcentral's name for it is "oocyte_clustered_small_RNA7317". Lineage: Eukaryota; Metazoa; Chordata; Mammalia; Rodentia; Muridae. The record is from RNAcentral.